Coffea arabica (coffee) is the source of this 322-nucleotide non-coding RNA. The record is from RefSeq and is a predicted model, not a curated record. Lineage: Eukaryota; Viridiplantae; Streptophyta; Magnoliopsida; Gentianales; Rubiaceae.
CCCAUCAAGAGCAGCGUAUGAUGAAUGCGUGAGUGGGCAGCCUCCAUGAGCACAUUUGAAGCAUGAUUUAUGGUCAGAUAGGUAGAGAUGGAUGAUUGGAGAGUGAAACAUACCACAAGAGUCCCUUUGCAGUGGCUGCAUUUAAAGCAGGAUCUAUGAAAGGUUGCUCCAUCAGCAGACAACAAAUCAACAAAAUAGACCGUCUUGUCGCAAGCCUUGCAUUUAUCCAAGUUUGAAGAAAAUGUAUGAUCAGAGAGCUGCUAGCUAGGAUGGGCUGCCAAGGAACAAAAGGGAGAAGUUUCAACAAGAAAGCGCUUGGCCC